CAGCCGCCGCGGGAAAACCAGCACCUCGAGUGGUCAGGAGGUUUAUUGGGCCUAAAGCAUCCGUAGCCGGUUGCAUAAGUUUUCGGUUAAAUCUAUGCGCUUAACGUAUAGGCCGCCGAAAAUACUGUGCAGCUAGGGAGUGGGAGAGGUACACGGUACUCGAUAGGAAGGGGUAAAAUCCUUUGAUCUAUUGAUGACCACCUGUGGCGAAGGCGGUGUACCAGAACACGUUCGACGGUGAGGGAUGAAAGCUGGGGGAGCAAACAGGAUUAGAUACCCGGGUAGUCCCUGUCUCUUAUAC
Molecule: ribosomal RNA, 301 nt
Filed under: uncultured bacterium
Lineage: Bacteria
Description: partial 16S ribosomal RNA
Rfam family: Archaeal small subunit ribosomal RNA
Source: RNAcentral